RNAcentral lists this unclassified non-coding RNA (189 nucleotides) under Imleria badia. RNAcentral describes it as "partial internal transcribed spacer 2". Lineage: Eukaryota; Fungi; Basidiomycota; Agaricomycetes; Boletales; Boletaceae. The record is from RNAcentral.
AAUUCUCAACCAUGACUUUGUUGACAUGGCUUGGAGUUGGGGGUUGCUGGCUUGUUUGUCAGCUCUCCUGAAAUACAUUAGCGGUGGACAAGCAAGGCCUUCCGACGUGAUAAUGAUCGUCGUGGGGCGGAGCAUCAACGUCUGUCUGCUUCUAAAUCCCAGAUGCCUUAGCUAGACAUCAUUUCGAAC